Molecule: long non-coding RNA, 208 nt
Filed under: Lathyrus oleraceus (garden pea)
Lineage: Eukaryota; Viridiplantae; Streptophyta; Magnoliopsida; Fabales; Fabaceae
Description: Pisum sativum (pea) long non-coding RNA (PSAT_LNC015670)
Source: RNAcentral
UGUCAAAAGUGACGGCGAAUGGAGGUAGGUGUCGUUGUUGUUAUGUUUCGAUGCGUCGGACACGAUUCUCGUCCGUGCGUAAUGGCAUGGUUACGGAUUCGAUCUGAAAAUUUCCUUUUCUAUUAUUCUGUUUGUUUUCGGUUGAAAAUUGUGUUGUUAAUGUGGUUGUUCUUAAUGAUGACGUUUGAAGAGAAUGAUGAGUCAAGGU